This 545-nucleotide ribosomal RNA is filed under the name Bifidobacterium dentium. RNAcentral's name for it is "bacterial SSU rRNA". It matches the Rfam family "Bacterial small subunit ribosomal RNA", at positions 157 to 711 of the family's 1533-position model. The record is from RNAcentral. Lineage: Bacteria; Bacillati; Actinomycetota; Actinomycetes; Bifidobacteriales; Bifidobacteriaceae.
CGGGUGGUAAUGCCGGAUGCUCCAGUCCAUCGCAUGGUGGUCUGGGAAAGAUUCUAUCGGUAUGGGAUGGGGUCGCGUCCUAUCAGCUUGAUGGCGGGGUAACGGCCCACCAUGGCCUCGACGGGUAGCCGGCCUGAGAGGGCGACCGGCCACAUUGGGACUGAGAUACGGCCCAGACUCCUACGGGAGGCAGCAGUGGGGAAUAUUGCACAAUGGGCGCAAGCCUGAUGCAGCGACGCCGCGUGCGGGAUGGAGGCCUUCGGGUUGUAAACCGCUUUUGAUCGGGAGCAAGCCCUUCGGGGUGAGUGUACCCUUCGAAUAAGCACCGGCUAACUACGUGCCAGCAGCCGCGGUAAUACGUAGGGUGCAAGCGUUAUCCGGAAUUAUUGGGCGUAAAGGGCUCGUAGGCGGUUCGUCGCGUCCGGUGUGAAAGCCCAUCGCUUAACGGUGGGUCUGCGCCGGGUACGGGCGGGCUGGAGUGCGGUAGGGGAGACUGGAAUUCCCGGUGUAACGGUGGAAUGUGUAGAUAUCGGGAAAGAACACCA